AACGCAACUUGCGCUCCUUGGUAUUCCGAGGAGCAUGCCUGUUUGAGUGUCAUUAAUAUCUCAAAAAAUCUAUGCUUAGCAAAUAGAUCUUUUGGACUUGGGGGUUUGCAGGCUUUUGCCAGCUCCUCUGAAAUGUAUGAGCAGGAAAUAAAAAACUUCAGAUGUGAUAACUAUCUUGCAUCUGGGGGGUGUCUCUGCUGAAACAAAGCUUGUUUGAUCUAUGUGACCUCAGAUCAGGUAGGACUACCCGCUGAACUUAA
This 260-nucleotide unclassified non-coding RNA is filed under the name uncultured Agaricales. RNAcentral describes it as "sequence contains 5.8S rRNA gene, ITS2, 28S rRNA gene". The stretch from base 1 to 52 matches the Rfam family "5.8S ribosomal RNA", at positions 103 to 154 of the family's 154-position model. The record is from RNAcentral. Lineage: Eukaryota; Fungi; Basidiomycota; Agaricomycetes; Agaricales.